RNAcentral lists this ribosomal RNA (1499 nucleotides) under Weissella confusa. RNAcentral's name for it is "bacterial SSU rRNA". It matches the Rfam family "Bacterial small subunit ribosomal RNA". Lineage: Bacteria; Bacillati; Bacillota; Bacilli; Lactobacillales; Lactobacillaceae. The record is from RNAcentral.
GAUGAACGCUGGCGGCGUGCCUAAUACAUGCAAGUCGAACGCUUUGUGGUUCAACUGAUUUGAAGAGCUUGCUCAGAUAUGACGAUGAACAUUGCAAAGAGUGGCGAACGGGUGAGUAACACGUGGGAAACCUACCUCUUAGCAGGGGAUAACAUUUGGAAACAGAUGCUAAUACCGUAUAACAAUGACAACCGCAUGGUUGUUAUUUAAAAGAUGGUUCUGCUAUCACUAAGAGAUGGUCCCGCGGUGCAUUAGCUAGUUGGUAAGGUAAUGGCUUACCAAGGCGAUGAUGCAUAGCCGAGUUGAGAGACUGAUCGGCCACAAUGGGACUGAGACACGGCCCAUACUCCUACGGGAGGCAGCAGUAGGGAAUCUUCCACAAUGGGCGAAAGCCUGAUGGAGCAACGCCGCGUGUGUGAUGAAGGGUUUCGGCUCGUAAAACACUGUUGUAAGAGAAGAAUGACAUUGAGAGUAACUGUUCAAUGUGUGACGGUAUCUUACCAGAAAGGAACGGCUAAAUACGUGCCAGCAGCCGCGGUAAUACGUAUGUUCCAAGCGUUAUCCGGAUUUAUUGGGCGUAAAGCGAGCGCAGACGGUUAUUUAAGUCUGAAGUGAAAGCCCUCAGCUCAACUGAGGAAUUGCUUUGGAAACUGGAUGACUUGAGUGCAGUAGAGGAAAGUGGAACUCCAUGUGUAGCGGUGAAAUGCGUAGGUAUAUGGAAGAACACCAGUGGCGAAGGCGGCUUUCUGGACUGUAACUGACGUUGAGGCUCGAAAGUGUGGGUAGCAAACAGGAUUAGAUACCCUGGUAGUCCACACCGUAAACGAUGAGUGCUAGGUGUUUGAGGGUUUCCGCCCUUAAGUGCCGCAGCUAACGCAUUAAGCACUCCGCCUGGGGAGUACGACCGCAAGGUUGAAACUCAAAGGAAUUGACGGGGACCCGCACAAGCGGUGGAGCAUGUGGUUUAAUUCGAAGCAACGCGAAGAACCUUACCAGGUCUUGACAUCCCUUGACAACUCCAGAGAUGGAGCGUUCCCUUCGGGGACAAGGUGACAGGUGGUGCAUGGUUGUCGUCAGCUCGUGUCGUGAGAUGUUGGGUUAAGUCCCGCAACGAGCGCAACCCUUAUUACUAGUUGCCAGCAUUCAGUUGGGCACUCUAGUGAGACUGCCGGUGACAAACCGGAGGAAGGUGGGGAUGACGUCAAAUCAUCAUGCCCCUUAUGACCUGGGCUACACACGUGCUACAAUGGCGUAUACAACGAGUUGCCAACCCGCGAGGGUGAGCUAAUCUCUUAAAGUACGUCUCAGUUCGGGUUGUAGGCUGCAACUCGCCUACAUGAAGUCGGAAUCGCUAGUAAUCGCGGAUCAGCACGCCGCGGUGAAUACGUUCCCGGGUCUUGUACACACCGCCCGUCACACCAUGAGAGUUUGUAACACCCAAAGCCGGUGGGGUAACCUUCGGGAGCCAGCCGUCUAAGGUGGGACAGAUGAUUAGGGUG